Molecule: ribosomal RNA, 253 nt
Filed under: uncultured bacterium
Lineage: Bacteria
Description: partial 16S ribosomal RNA
Rfam family: Bacterial small subunit ribosomal RNA
Source: RNAcentral
UACGUAGGGGGCAAGCGUUGUCCGGAUUUAUUGGGCGUAAAGAGCGUGUAGGCGGCCUUACAGGUCAGCUGUGAAAACUCGAGGCUCAACCUCGAGACGUCGGUUGAAACCGUACGGCUAGAGUCCGGAAGAGGAGAGUGGAAUUCCCGGUGUAGCGGUGAAAUGCGCAGAUAUCGGGAAGAACACCCGUGGCGAAGGCGGCUCUCUGGGACGGUACUGACGCUGAGACGCGAAAGCGUGGGGAGCGAACAGG